Molecule: long non-coding RNA, 2417 nt
Organism: Bos taurus (domestic cattle)
Lineage: Eukaryota; Metazoa; Chordata; Mammalia; Artiodactyla; Bovidae
Source: Ensembl
GAACUGAAGUAUAUAGAUCGUGACUAACUCACCGCUGUGGGUCUCGCACGGCUGCCUCCUACCUAGAAGUGACAGCCUAGACUCUCGGCACAGGAGUUCUGGGUGCAAAAAUACUGUCACUAGACAUCCACCACUACCACUCCCAUCUGAAGCAUCUAAGAAACUAAACUAUGGCUUCUUUUCAUUUUCCUUCAGCGUGUUAUUAUUAACUCCUGGCGCCUCUAAUUGCUCACUGAAAACAGUGGUUUGGAUAUUAAUAGGCUGAAAAUCAAGAACCCUACCUGGGGCUCGUUGUCACGGAAACGGGCCAAGUUGUUGGAGAAAGAGAAACUGGUGAGGCGAGUGACUGUAGUAUGUAGCAGCUUGGAGGAGUGAAACUCUUUAGGAGUGGAAGGGUAAGGGUCCUUGGAGGAUGGCUUGGGGCACGCUGAGCUCCUCUCCUUGGGGCUGCACCCGGCCACUCCGCUUCGUUUCCCGGGCCCUUCCGCUGCCCUUCUCUCCCAGCCUGAGCGCGGAGCUACCAGCAGCGCGCAGACAAGUUCCCCAGAAGGGAAUCUGAGCAGCCCCAGGCUGAGACACCCAGCAGAGAAGGGAGUGGGGAGGUCGGACAGGCUAAAGGCAGAACCCUCUUCGUCCCCAUGCCAAGGUUCUGGGGGAGGCAGCCCCGGGACCAGAACACGCAUCCCGCUCACCGCCCUCCCAGCGCCCCCGGGCGAUGCUCCAGGAUCUGGAUCUCCAAAGCAAGCGCCCAGCUAGCUAAGCGCCUCCGAAACCCACGCGGAUUCCCGCGCCCCGGGGCGAUCUCUGCCGCAGCCGCCAGGGCCUCCCGCGGGCUCUACGCCCGGCACCCAGGGCUGGGCCCCCACCCGGUCCCCUGGGCGCCGUGCGUCACGCGCCCCCUGGGCCCAGCGCCUCCUCAGCGCUCGCGCCGCGCGCCCCAGCCUCGCGCAUCCGCACCCGCACCCAGCUUCCUCCGGCCGCGGGGCCCUCCCGGGACUCACCUGCGCUGGGGCUGUAGCGGCGGCCACCCCGAGCCCGGGGGCGGCAGUGGCGGCGGCGCAGGGGGAGGAGGGCAGCGCGGGGCUCCUGGCACAGCGGCCGCCGGGCGCCUGGUGCUGCCGAGCCGCGGACCCGCCCAGAGAUAUAAAUAACAUUAUCUGAGGAGGGACAUUCCUGCCGGGGGACAUCGCUGCUGCCGGGACCAGAUAGUCCCGCGGCGGGGGCGGAGAGGCGGGGCCGCAGCCUCCCGCAGCGCCAGGCCCAGCCCCCGCCUUCCCCACCCACUCCCGCACCUGCCAAUCAGCCUCCGAGCCCCGGGCCACCUGCCCGGCCUCCGCCCGGCUCCCCCGGCCAGCCUCCGCCUCCCGGAGGACCGCCCGAGUCCGAGCCACCCGAAGCCGGAGCGGUCCGCAGCGCCCCCAUCGCCGCUCACCUCCCCUCACCGCGCGCUACCCCGAGCCCCCUGCAGCGGGGAAAAGAUUUGGCUGCAGCUCCGGCCUAAUUCGUGCACCCAGAGCGGCAAGCCUGGCCAGGAAAAUGAGCCCUCCAACCUUUCCCACCCCGCGUCCCCACUGUAUACAGUCAGGCUUUUCAAAUAUGUUAAAAGACCCGCUGAGGCCGUAGGUUAGGAGAGGCGGGCGCCCGGGCAGCGCGCCCUCGCUGCGGCGUGUUUGGGAGAGACAGAUUGUUCCCGGGGGCUGGUGUGUUAGAAAGCGCACUGUGGGGCAGGCUUCUCGGGGCUGGCAGUAAGAGCAGACGCUGGGAGGGCUGGCGUGGGCACUGGGCGGGAGACCCUCGCCCUCAGCCCGAGAGCUCGGUGUCUCUGUUUGCAAACCUGGUGUGGUCUGGGCGGACCCCGCAAAGCCGGAGGGGCACAGCGCGAAGUCCCACGGCUUGCAUGUUACAGGGACUGUAAUCAACAGGCAAGCUGCCACCCCAGCCCACCGACAUCUCCUGGCCGGCCCUGGUUUCCAGGGAGCCGAGGCUUCCUCGCCGCAAGCCUGGGUGGGGUGGGAUGCUGUAGGCCCGAGAAAACACUAGAAACGCUGGUGCCAAAGAGGAAAGACAACAGCACCUCCGCUCACCUCGGGAGAGACACAGAAGUGGCAGCUUGAAAAGCUGUCCACUUUUUUGACUUUCUUACUAUACAAGGUCAUUGUUCAGUAAGCCUUGGUGAUACACCUUGCCGCAGUUUUCAUCUCUUUUCUCCAUCAGCCGUGCUGGGACGGUUUCUACCCAGACAACAACCCAGGGAAUCUCAGGUGUUUUGGAGAUGGCAGUGGCGAUGUGAAGUGCAAAGAUGUAGAAAAGAGUUUUAACUUUGAUGAUGCCUGGUGUUCUUCACAACGGAACAGUCUUGCUCCUGAGUUAUUUGCUUGGGAGUAUAAUUAUGCUGUUUUCCAGGAUUCACCAGGAAA